AAACUUUACAAUGCUGGAAACAGCGAUAGGGGGACUUUGAGUGCCAGGAUACAAUUCUGGCUGUCGUCGUGCCUAAAAAGCACGGCAUAGCAAGGGCCGGGCAAGACCGGUGCCAGCCGCCGCGGUAACACCGGCGGCUCGAGUGGUAACCGCUAUUAUUGGGUCUAAAGGGUCUGUAGCCGGCUGAAAAAGUCUCUUGGGAAAUCUGGCUGCUCAACAGUCAGGCUUCCAGGGGAUACUCUUCGGCUCGGGACCGGGAGAGGUGAGAGGUACUUCAUGGGUAGGGGUGAAAUCUUGUAAUCCUUGAAGGACCACCAGUGGCGAAGGCGUCUCACCAGAACGGAUCCGACGGCAAGGGACGAAAGCUAGGGGCACGAACCGGA
RNAcentral lists this ribosomal RNA (383 nucleotides) under uncultured archaeon. Its description in RNAcentral is "bacterial SSU rRNA". It matches the Rfam family "Archaeal small subunit ribosomal RNA", at positions 345 to 728 of the family's 1478-position model. The record is from RNAcentral.